GACGAACGCUGGCGGCGUGCUUAACACAUGCAAGUCGAACGGAAAGGCCUCUUUCGGGGGGUACUCGAGUGGCGAACGGGUGAGUAACACGUGAGUAACCUGCCCUUGACUUUGGGAUAACUUCAGGAAACUGGGGCUAAUACCGGAUAGGAGCUCCUGCUGCAUGGUGGGGGUUGGAAAGUUUCGGCGGUUGGGGAUGGACUCGCGGCUUAUCAGCUUGUUGGUGGGGUAGUGGCUUACCAAGGCUUUGACGGGUAGCCGGCCUGAGAGGGUGUCCGGCCACAUUGGGACUGAGAUACGGCCCAGACUCCUACGGGAGGCAGCAGUGGGGAAUAUUGCACAAUGGGUGGAAGCCUGAUGCAGCAACGCCGUGUGCGGGAUGACGGCCUUCGGGUUGUAAACCGCUUUCGCUCAUGACGAAGCUUUGUGUGACGGUAGUGGGUAAAGAAGCACCGGCUAACUACGUG
Molecule: ribosomal RNA, 467 nt
Filed under: uncultured bacterium
Lineage: Bacteria
Description: partial 16S ribosomal RNA
Rfam family: Bacterial small subunit ribosomal RNA
Source: RNAcentral